RNAcentral lists this ribosomal RNA (588 nucleotides) under uncultured bacterium. RNAcentral describes it as "bacterial SSU rRNA". It matches the Rfam family "Bacterial small subunit ribosomal RNA", at positions 338 to 944 of the family's 1533-position model. The record is from RNAcentral.
CCUACGGGAGGCAGCAGUGGGGAAUAUUGGACAAUGGGCGCAAGCCUGAUCCAGCCAUGCCGCGUGAGUGAUGAAGGCCUUAGGGUUGUAAAGCUCUUUUGCCAGGGAAGAUAAUGACUGUACCUGGAGAAUAAGCCCCGGCUAACUUCGUGCCAGCAGCCGCGGUAAUACGAAGGGGGCUAGCGUUGUUCGGAAUCACUGGGCGUAAAGCGCACGUAGGCGGACUUUUAAGUCAGGGGUGAAGGCCUGAGGCUCAACCUCAGAACUGCCCUUGAUACUGGGAGUCUUGAGUAUGGUAGAGGUUGGUGGAACAGCAAGUGUAGAGGUGAAAUUCGUAGAUAUUUGCUAGAACACCAGUGGCGAAGGCGGCCAACUGGACCAUAACUGACGCUGAGGUGCGAAAGCGUGGGGAGCAAACAGGAUUAGAUACCCUGGUAGUCCACGCCGUAAACGAUGGAUGCUAGCCGUUAGCCAGCUUGCUGGGUAGUGGCGCAGGUAACCCUUUAAGCAUCCCGCCUGGGGAGUCGGUCGCAAGAUUAAAACUCAAAUGAAAUUGAGGCUUGAGAGNGCGAGCGACACGAGGAGAGG